GAUGAACGCUGGCGGCGUGCCUAAUACAUGCAAGUCGAGCGAACAGACGAGGAGCUUGCUCCUCUGACGUUAGCGGCGGACGGGUGAGUAACACGUGGAUAACCUACCUAUAAGACUGGGAUAACUUCGGGAAACCGGAGCUAAUACCGGAUAAUAUAUUGAACCGCAUGGUUCAAUAGUGAAAGACGGUUUUGCUGUCACUUAUAGAUGGAUCCGCGCCGCAUUAGCUAGUUGGUAAGGUAACGGCUUACCAAGGCAACGAUGCGUAGCCGACCUGAGAGGGUGGUCGGCCACACUGGAACUGAGACACGGUCCAGACUCCUACGGGAGGCAGCAGUAGGGAAUCUUCCGCAAUGGGCGAAAGCCUGACGGAGCAACGCCGCGUGAGUGAUGAAGGUCUUCGGAUCGUAAAACUCUGUUAUUAGGGAAGAACAAAUGUGUAGGUAACUAUGCACGUCUUGACGGUACCUAAUCAGAAAGCCACGGCUAACUACGUG
This 497-nucleotide ribosomal RNA is filed under the name uncultured bacterium. RNAcentral describes it as "partial 16S ribosomal RNA". It matches the Rfam family "Bacterial small subunit ribosomal RNA", at positions 28 to 507 of the family's 1533-position model. The record is from RNAcentral.